UGUUGUGGUUAAAAAGCUCGUAGUUGGAUCUCGGCGGACUGAGGGCGGUUUGCUUGCUAGUAUUACUGCCCUAUAGUCCGUAGUUUUGCCAGAGGUUUCGGGGUGCUCUUAAUCGAGUGUCCCGGGAUGCUGGCAGGUUUACUUUGAAAAAAUUAGAGUGCUCAAAGCAGGCUAUUACGCCUGAAUAUUCGUGCAUGGAAUAAUAGAAUAGGAAGUCGUUUCUAUUUUGUUGGUUUUCGGAAAUCGACUUAAUGAUUAAUAGGGACAGUCGGGGGCAUUUGUAUUCAAACGACAGAGGUGAAAUUCUUGGACCGUUUGAAGACAAACUACUGCGAAAGCAUUUGCCAAGAAUGUUUUCAUUAAUCAAGAACGAAAGUUAAAGGUUCGAAGGCGAUUAGAUACCGCCCUAGUUUUAACCAUAAACGAUGCCAGCUAGCGAUCUGCGGACGUUUUUUUUGUAGACUCCGCAGGAAGCUUCCCGGGAAACCAAAGCAUUUGGGUUCCAGGGGAAGUAUGGUUGCAAAAGGCUGGAAACUU
This 537-nucleotide ribosomal RNA is filed under the name uncultured marine eukaryote. RNAcentral's name for it is "SSU rRNA". It matches the Rfam family "Eukaryotic small subunit ribosomal RNA", at positions 611 to 1145 of the family's 1831-position model. The record is from RNAcentral.